This 481-nucleotide ribosomal RNA is filed under the name uncultured bacterium. Its description in RNAcentral is "partial 16S ribosomal RNA". It matches the Rfam family "Bacterial small subunit ribosomal RNA", at positions 28 to 523 of the family's 1533-position model. The record is from RNAcentral.
GACGAACGCUGGCGGCGUGCCUAACACAUGCAAGUCGAACGGAGAUACGAUUUCGGUUGUAUCUUAGUGGCGAACGGGUGAGUAACGCGUGAGCAACCUGACUCUUAGAGGGGGAUAACACCUGGAAACAAGUGCUAAUACCGCAUAAGACCACGACCCGGCAUCGGGAUGAGGUCAAAGGAGCAAUCCGCUGAGAGAGGGGCUCGCGUCCCAUUAGAUAGAUGGCGGGGUAACGGCCCACCAUGUCAGCGAUGGGUAGCCGAGCUGAGAGGCUGAUCGGCCACACUGGAACUGAGACACGGUCCAGACUCCUACGGGAGGCAGCAGUGGGGAAUAUUGGGCAAUGGGCGCAAGCCUGACCCAGCAACGCCGCGUGAGGGAAGAAGGCUUUCGGGUUGUAAACCUCCGUCCUUGGUGACGAAACAAAUGACGGUAGCCAAGGAGGAAGCCCCGGCUAACUACGUGCCAGCAGCCGCCGUAA